CCGUAGGGUGCGAGCGUUAAUCGGAAUUACUGGGCGUAAAGCGUGCGCAGGCGGUUUUGUAAGACAGAUGUGAAAUCCCCGGGCUCAACCUGGGACCUGCAUUUGUGACUGCAAGGCUAGAGUACGGUAGAGGGGGAUGGAAUUCCGCGUGUAGCAGUGAAAUGCGUAGAUAUGCGGAGGAACACCGAUGGCGAAGGCAAUCCCCUGGACCUGUACUGACGCUCAUGCACGAAAGCGUGGGGAGCAAACAGGAUUAGAUACCCUGGUAGUCCACGCCCUAAACGAUGUCAACUGGUUGUUGGGUCUUUACUGACUCAGUAACGAAGCUAACGCGUGAAGUUGACCGCCGGGGGAGUACGGCCGCAAGGUUG
RNAcentral lists this ribosomal RNA (371 nucleotides) under uncultured organism. RNAcentral describes it as "bacterial SSU rRNA". It matches the Rfam family "Bacterial small subunit ribosomal RNA", at positions 525 to 896 of the family's 1533-position model. The record is from RNAcentral.